RNAcentral lists this ribosomal RNA (610 nucleotides) under Staphylococcus sp. Its description in RNAcentral is "bacterial SSU rRNA". It matches the Rfam family "Bacterial small subunit ribosomal RNA", at positions 202 to 802 of the family's 1533-position model. The record is from RNAcentral. Lineage: Bacteria; Bacillati; Bacillota; Bacilli; Caryophanales; Staphylococcaceae.
AAGAUGGUUUUGCUAUCACUUAUAGAUGGACCCGCGCCGUAUUAGCUAGUUGGUAAGGUAACGGCUUACCAAGGCAACGAUACGUAGCCGACCUGAGAGGGUGAUCGGCCACACUGGAACUGAGACACGGUCCAGACUCCUACGGGAGGCAGCAGUAGGGAAUCUUCCGCAAUGGGCGAAAGCCUGACGGAGCAACGCCGCGUGAGUGAUGAAGGGUUUCGGCUCGUAAAACUCUGUUAUUAGGGAAGAACAAAUGUGUAAGUAACUGUGCACGUCUUGACGGUACCUAAUCAGAAAGCCACGGCUAACUACGUGCCAGCAGCCGCGGUAAUACGUAGGUGGCAAGCGUUAUCCGGAAUUAUUGGGCGUAAAGCGCGCGUAGGCGGUUUCUUAAGUCUGAUGUGAAAGCCCACGGCUCAACCGUGGAGGGUCAUUGGAAACUGGGAAACUUGAGUGCAGAAGAGGAAAGUGGAAUUCCAUGUGUAGCGGUGAAAUGCGCAGAGAUAUGGAGGAACACCAGUGGCGAAGGCGACUUUCUGGUCUGUAACUGACGCUGAUGUGCGAAAGCGUGGGGAUCAAACAGGAUUAGAUACCCUGGUAGUCCACGCCG